CCUUUUUCAGCAGGGAAGAAGCGCAAGUGACGGUACCGCAGAAGAAGCGCCGGCUAACUACGUGCCAGCAGCCGCGGUAAUACGUAGGGCGCACGCGUGUCCGGAAUUAUUGGGCGUAAAGAGCUCGUAGGCGGUUUGUCGCGUCUGGUGUGAAAACUCGAGGCUCACCCUCGAGCUUGCAUCGGGUACGGGCAGACUAGAGUGCGGUAGGGGAGACUGGAAUUCCUGGUGUAGCGGUGGAAUGCGCAGAUAUCAGGAGGAACACCGAUGGCGAAGGCAGGUCUCUGGGCCGCAACUGACGCUGAGGAGCGAAAGCAUGGGGAGCGAACAGGAUUAGAUACCCUGGUAGUCCAUGCCGUAAACGUUGGGCACUAGGUGUGGGGCUCAUUCCACGAGUUCCGUGCCGCAGCAAACGCAUUAAGUGCCCCGCCUGGGGAGUACGGCCGCAAGGCUAAAACUCAAAGGAAUUGACGGGGGCCCGCACAAGCGGCGGAGCAUGCGGAUUAAUUUGAUGCAACGCGAAGAACCUUACCAAGGCUUGACAUGCACGGGAAGCCACCAGAGAUGGUGGUCUCUUUGGACACUCGUGCACAGGUGGUGCAUGGUUGUGGUCAGCUCGUGUCGUGAGAUGUUGGGUUAAGUCCCGCAACGAGCGCAACCCUCGUCCCAUGUUGCCAGCGGGUUAUGCCGGGGACUCAUGGGAGACUGCCGGGGUCAACUCGGAGGAAGGUGGGGAUGACGUCAAAUCAUCAUGCCCCCUAUGUCUUGGGCUUCACGCAUGGUACAAUGGCCGGUACAAAGGGCUGCGAUACCGUAAGGUGGAGCGAAUCCCAAAAAGCCGGUCUCAGUUCGGAUUGGGGUCUGCAACUCGACCCCAUGAAGUCGGAGUCGCUAGUAAUCGCAGAUCAGCAACGCUGCGGUGAAUACGUUCCCGGGCCUUGUACACACCGCCCGUCAAGUCACGAAAGUCGGUAACACCCGUACGGCAUGGCCCAACCGUCCCGAGCCAGCACAAACCCGAGCCAGUCGCGCC
This 1033-nucleotide ribosomal RNA is filed under the name bacterium AW31. RNAcentral's name for it is "bacterial SSU rRNA". It matches the Rfam family "Bacterial small subunit ribosomal RNA", at positions 430 to 1469 of the family's 1533-position model. The record is from RNAcentral.